Pimephales promelas (fathead minnow) is the source of this 532-nucleotide long non-coding RNA. RefSeq lists it as uncharacterized. Lineage: Eukaryota; Metazoa; Chordata; Actinopteri; Cypriniformes; Leuciscidae. The record is from RefSeq and is a predicted model, not a curated record.
UUUGGAAAAGAUUUGAAUUCAAAAUAUUAACAAAACCUAUAAAAUGAAUGACACUUAUAGUUUUUGUUAAUAUUUUACUCCUCUAUUCCUUAUAAGGAAAAGCUUAAUUGCAUGGUUACAGUUUGUAUAUAGCAAAAAUAUUGUCCAUUGUUUGGCAACUAACCGAAGAGAGAUCUCGUCUUGCCCUCAACAAAAUCUUGUGACGUAUGUUGGUCUGGAGCGAGUGGAAUCCACAUAAAGGUGGUGCAGGCAUAAUUUUGAAAGCUUUGAAUGACCUUCAGACUGCAUACGUCUCUUCUGGGUCAAGUUAUGAUCAGACGACCUCUCUUCGCCAAAUUAAAAUCCCCUACCAAUAUAAUUUAAGAAGCCAGGAGAGAGAUUGUGUCUUGCCCAACACAACAGAAAAUGACUCUGCACACUUCAUCUCUCAGUGAAAUAAAACCAUCACUUUUGGGUCAAGCCACAACCUUAUAAUCUCUCCUUGAAAAAUAAUAAUAAAAAAAUGCUAUUAAUUUCUUUUUUUUUUUUUCCA